GUUUCUAUAGUUGAAUACAACGGUGGUUUUUCAAGCCAUUAGUCCGGGUUAAAGUCCUGGUAGAAAUU
Molecule: transfer RNA, 68 nt
Filed under: Microdous chalmersi
Lineage: Eukaryota; Metazoa; Chordata; Actinopteri; Gobiiformes; Odontobutidae
Description: Sineleotris chalmersi tRNA-Glu
Rfam family: tRNA
About the family: Transfer RNA (tRNA) molecules are approximately 80 nucleotides in length.
Source: RNAcentral